GACGAACGCUGGCGGCGUGCCUAAUACAUGCAAGUAGAACGCUGAAGAGAGGAGCUUGCUCUUCUUGGAUGAGUUGCGAACGGGUGAGUAACGCGUAGGUAACCUGCCUGGUAGCGGGGGAUAACUAUUGGAAACGAUAGCUAAUACCGCAUAAAAUUGAUUAUUGCAUGAUAAUUAAUUGAAAGAUGCAAUUGCAUCACUACCAGAUGGACCUGCGUUGUAUUAGCUAGUUGGUGAGGUAACGGCUCACCAAGGCGACGAUACAUAGCCGACCUGAGAGGGUGAUCGGCCACACUGGGACUGAGACACGGCCCAGACUCCUACGGGAGGCAGCAGUAGGGAAUCUUCGGCAAUGGGGGGAACCCUGACCGAGCAACGCCGCGUGAGUGAAGAAGGUUUUCGGAUCGUAAAGCUCUGUUGUAAGAGAAGAACGGGUGUGAGAGUGGAAAGUUCACACUGUGACGGUAUCUUACCAGAAAGGGACGGCUAACUACGUGCCAGCAGCCGCGGUAAUACGUAGGUCCCGAGCGUUGUCCGGAUUUAUUGGGCGUAAAGCGAGCGCAGGCGGUUAGAUAAGUCUGAAGUUAAAGGCUGUGGCUUAACCAUAGUAUGCUUUGGAAACUGUUUAACUUGAGUGCAGAAGGGGAGAGUGGAAUUCCAUGUGUAGCGGUGAAAUGCGUAGAUAUAUGGAGGAACACCGGUGGCGAAAGCGGCUCUCUGGUCUGUAACUGACGCUGAGGCUCGAAAGCGUGGGGAGCAAACAGGAUUAGAUACCCUGGUAGUCCACGCCGUAAACGAUGAGUGCUAGGUGUUAGGCCCUUUCCGGGGCUUAGUGCCGCAGCUAACGCAUUAAGCACUCCGCCUGGGGAGUACGACCGCAAGGUUGAAACUCAAAGGAAUUGACGGGGGCCCGCACAAGCGGUGGAGCAUGUGGUUUAAUUCGAAGCAACGCGAAGAACCUUACCAGGUCUUGACAUCCCUCUGACCGCUCUAGAGAUAGAGUUUUCCUUCGGGACAGAGGUGACAGGUGGUGCAUGGUUGUCGUCAGCUCGUGUCGUGAGAUGUAGGGUUAAGUCCCGCAACGAGCGCAACCCCUAUUGUUAGUUGCCAUCAUUCAGUUGGGCACUCUAGCGAGACUGCCGGUAAUAAACCGGAGGAAGGUGGGGAUGACGUCAAAUCAUCAUGCCCCUUAUGACCUGGGCUACACACGUGCUACAAUGGCUGGUACAACGAGUCGCAAGCCGGUGACGGCAAGCUAAUCUCUGAAAGCCAGUCUCAGUUCGGAUUGUAGGCUGCAACUCGCCUACAUGAAGUCGGAAUCGCUAGUAAUCGCGGAUCAGCACGCCGCGGUGAAUACGUUCCCGGGCCU
RNAcentral lists this ribosomal RNA (1369 nucleotides) under uncultured bacterium. RNAcentral describes it as "bacterial SSU rRNA". It matches the Rfam family "Bacterial small subunit ribosomal RNA", at positions 28 to 1381 of the family's 1533-position model. The record is from RNAcentral.